Molecule: ribosomal RNA, 497 nt
Filed under: uncultured bacterium
Lineage: Bacteria
Description: partial 16S ribosomal RNA
Rfam family: Bacterial small subunit ribosomal RNA
Source: RNAcentral
GAUGAACGCUGGCGGCGUGCCUAAUACAUGCAAGUCGAGCGAACGGACGAGAAGCUUGCUUCUCUGAUGUUAGCGGCGGACGGGUGAGUAACACGUGGAUAACCUACCUAUAAGACUGGGAUAACUUCGGGAAACCGGAGCUAAUACCGGAUAAUAUUUUGAACCGCAUGGUUCAAAAGUGAAAGACGGUCUUGCUGUCACUUAUAGAUGGAUCCGCGCUGCAUUAGCUAGUUGGUAAGGUAACGGCUUACCAAGGCAACGAUGCAUAGCCGACCUGAGAGGGUGAUCGGCCACACUGGAACUGAGACACGGUCCAGACUCCUACGGGAGGCAGCAGUAGGGAAUCUUCUGCAAUGGGCGAAAGCCUGACGGAGCAACGCCGCGUGAGUGAUGAAGGUCUUCGGAUCGUAAAACUCUGUUAUUAGGGAAGAACAUAUGUGUAAGUAACUGUGCACAUCUUGACGGUACCUAAUCAGAAAGCCACGGCUAACUACGUG